CCAAUAGCGUAUAUUAAAGUUGUUGCGGUUAAAAAGCUCGUAGUUGAACUUCGGGGUCUACCCAUUGGUCAGGCUUAAUUGUCUGUACUGGUGAGAUGGAUCUCUACCUUCUGAGGAACUUUCAUGCCAUUUAUUUGGUGUGAUUGGAAAUCAGGACUGUUACUUUGAAAAAAUUAGAGUGUUUAAAGCAGACUAUCGUCUGAAUACAUUAGCAUGGAAUAAUGAAAUAGGACGGACUGAUUCUAUUUCGUUGGUUUCUAGGAUCACCGUAAUGAUUAAUAGGGAUAGUUGGGGGCAUUAGUAUUCAAUUGUCAGAGGUGAAAUUCUUGGAUUUAUUAAAGACUAACUACUGCGAAAGCAUUUGCCAGGGAUGUUUUCAUUAAUCAAGAACGAAAGUUAGGGGAUCGAAGACGAUCAGAUACCGUCGUAGUCUUAACCAUAAACUAUGCCGACUAGGGAUCGGACGAAGUUAAUUUUAUAAUGACGCGUUCGGCACCUUACG
This 502-nucleotide ribosomal RNA is filed under the name uncultured Glomeromycotina. Its description in RNAcentral is "partial small subunit ribosomal RNA". It matches the Rfam family "Eukaryotic small subunit ribosomal RNA", at positions 591 to 1092 of the family's 1831-position model. The record is from RNAcentral. Lineage: Eukaryota; Fungi; Glomeromycota.